UUUUUUAGGUUGCUGACCAAAGUAACAGUCUGGAUGAACUGAAAUUAUUGUGCAAGGAGUGCAAAGUACUGAAGCCUGUCCAAAAAGUGAUUUCUUCAUUUCUUGGAUGUAAAUGGGAAUUGCUUAGUGCAAAAUUGGGAGAGAAAGUCAGCGUUGACCAGUUAAGGAAAUUUACAGGAAAAGAUGAAACCAGCCUUAUUUUCAGACAAUACUUGGAAUAUCUGCAAAAGAGUCUGACCAUCGAGGAAUCAGACCAGCCACUAGUUGUAUCACCCAAUGUAUUUCUGAUGGACCAGGGAACAAGGGGCGUUGUCCACAUGUGUGUUGACCCACUGGGACUGCAGCAAGGGUCAUACGGGCAAGAAAAAGGAUUUUCAUUAGCCUUAUGUAAGCUUUCACCACAUCAGGUUUGCUGGACCUAGUGGACCGUUUAAAUUUUGGUGUGUGCCACAUUUUCAACGUAGCAAUAAUGGGGGAUAUCCAUCAAUUAAUGGAAAUAAAAAAUGGAUCGAGGAACACCGUGGAAUCUGCGAACUUGGUUUCGCAUGUGUUAAAGGAGUUAAACCAUCAGGUCCUAGCCUUGGUAUGGUACGGGCUGUAGAGGGGUUUCUCCUCUACCAUGCGGCGCCUGGGCAACGGCUGCUGCAAGAUCAUUUUAAUUUCACUGCCUGCACUGAGAAUUUUAAUAUUGUAAGUCAAGAGC
Dendronephthya gigantea is the source of this 703-nucleotide long non-coding RNA. RefSeq lists it as uncharacterized. Lineage: Eukaryota; Metazoa; Cnidaria; Anthozoa; Malacalcyonacea; Nephtheidae. The transcript has 4 exons. The record is from RefSeq and is a predicted model, not a curated record.